CAGCAGCCACGGGAAUACAGAGGGUGCAAGCGUUAAUCGGAAUUACUGGGCGUAAAGCGCGCGUAGGUGGUUUGUUAAGUUGGAUGUAAAAGCCCCGGGCUCAACCUGGGAACUGCAUCCAAAACUGGCAAGCUAGAGUACGGUAGAGGGUGGUGGAAUUUCCUGUGUAGCGGUGAAAUGCGUAGAUAUAGGAAUGAACACCAGUGGCGAAGGCGACCACCUGGACUGAUACUGACACUGAGGUGCGAAAGCGUGGGGAGCAAACAGGAUUAGAUACCCGCGUAGUCCCUGUCUCUUAUAC
RNAcentral lists this ribosomal RNA (301 nucleotides) under uncultured bacterium. RNAcentral's name for it is "partial 16S ribosomal RNA". It matches the Rfam family "Bacterial small subunit ribosomal RNA", at positions 509 to 807 of the family's 1533-position model. The record is from RNAcentral.